UUUUGCACGCUCACUAUUUCUUCAGUAUCGUUUCAACUAUCGUAGAAUCAACACAGCGAAAAUGUUACGGCAAUUUCUUUUCCUUACGUUCGUUUGUAUCUUUUACUCUGUCAGCAAUGCACAGCUUCAGGAAAGAAAGACGGAAAUUCACAUUGGCAAUAAAUCAAUUCUCGGAGACUCAAUGAUCGUUACAAUUGCUAUGCUUUGCACUUUGAGUUCGGUUUUGAUAAUACUCAUACCUACGACAUUAUACUAUAAAUAUUGUGCGAAAAAAAGCAACACAGAGAUGCAUUCCAAUGGAAUUCAUUAAAUCUAGAAAGAAGCCAGCUACACUAUUGUACACAACCAUUUGAAAGGACCUUUUUAUUGCGAGGAAAAAAAGGAACAAAUAAAAUUAAAAAAAAAAUAAAUAAAUAAAUAAAUAGAAAUAAAAAAGAAAAAAGAAAGGAAGGAGCAGAAAAUUAACGUUUCGAUCGUAACGCAUGCGCGUGGAAGAGGAAAACGAGGGAGUUUUGGCGACGACGCGAACUCGUAAGCUCGAUAAAUCGACGAGAAUUAAUCGUAUCGCGUCGACGCGGACAAAUACGAAUUCGAUAAUUAAUCCGUUGAUCGGUUUUAUGACUCCCCGUUGAACGACACUUCUCUGCUGCUCGAACCGAUCGUUCGUUUUCUCUCUAUCCUACCCUCUUGUUUUAACUUCGGCCAUUUGGCAACGAACGCUGAUAAUGGUAAAGCGAGCGAACCGUACCAACGAUUUCAUUGAACGAUCCCGAUUAUUUUGGAUGAAAUGCUGUAUAACGGGCCGAAUAACAAUAAGCCGAAACGUGCGACUCUAGUUCCAUCGAAUCCGCAAAACGACAAACUCUCUACUGUUAUGUCGACGUUAAUUUAGAGAUGCUUCUAAUUACGACUAUUAUUUUGGUAUUGGUCAAAUUUCCAUUGAGAACGAUACAAAAUAUAGGGUAAAGUAGAAUUUGUUUGUUGUAGUAUUUAUUGGUCAAAUUUCCAUUGGAAUGAUACAAAAUAUAUGGGGAAUGUUAAACUUGUUAUUAGUCUGACCGAUAUCUGAAUGUAAUAAAUGUUUGAUAUUUUGUAUCUAAAUAAAUGUAUCGGCGUUAAUUUAUAAAUGUUUCUAAUACUAUUGUUAUUUUAACAAUCAUCAAAUUAUCAUUGCAAUGAUAGAAAAUAUAGGAUAAAGUAAAAUUUGUUGUUAUGAUAUUGGUUAACUUUUCAUCGAAUAUCAUAGAAGAUAUAGGACAAUGUUAAAUUUCUUAUUAGGUUGAUCGAUAUCUAAAUGUAAUAAAUGUUCAAUAUUUUAGAUAUCGAUAAAUAAGUCAACGUUAAUUUAAGAAUGCUUCUAAUACUAUUAUUAUCUCAACGGUGAUCAAAUACCCAUUGAAAUGAUACAAAAUAUAGGGCAACGUUAAAUUUCUUAUUAGGUUGAUCGAUAUGGGAAUGUAGUAAAUGUUUGAUUGUUCAUAUCGAAAUAAAUUCGUGAAAGUUAAUUUAAAGAUAUUCCUAAUUACGACUAUUAUUUCAGUAUUGAUCAAACUUCCAUUGGUAUUAUACAAAAUAUAGAAUGAAGUAUAAUUUAUUGUUAUAGUAUUUAUCGGUCAAAUUCCCAUCGGAACGAUAGAAAAUAUAGAGCAAUGUUAAAGUUCUUAUUAGGUUGAUCUGGAUAUCUGAAUGUAAUAAAUGUUCGAUAUAUUAUAUCUAAAUAAAUAUGUCGACGUUAA
Long non-coding RNA from Vespula vulgaris, 1736 nucleotides. RefSeq lists it as uncharacterized. NCBI's taxonomy places the organism in Eukaryota, Metazoa, Arthropoda, Insecta, Hymenoptera, Vespidae. The transcript has 3 exons. The record is from RefSeq and is a predicted model, not a curated record.